UACAUCAUUUCCCACUUCUGUAUCCUUC
RNAcentral lists this non-coding RNA (28 nucleotides) under Rattus norvegicus (Norway rat). Lineage: Eukaryota; Metazoa; Chordata; Mammalia; Rodentia; Muridae. The record is from RNAcentral.